UACGAAGGUCCCAAGCGUUGUUCGGAAUCACUGGGCGUAAAGGGAGCGUAGGCGGCGUGGUAAGUCAGAUGUGAAAUCCCGGGGCUCAACCCCGGAACUGCAUCCGAUACUGCCGUGCUUGAGGGUUGGAGAGGUAGCUGGAAUUCUCGGUGUAGCAGUGAAAUGCGUGGAUAUCGAGAGGAACACUCGUGGCGAAGGCGAGCUACUGGACAACAUCUGACGCUGAGGCUCGAAGGCUAGGGGAGCAAAAGGG
This 253-nucleotide ribosomal RNA is filed under the name uncultured bacterium. Its description in RNAcentral is "partial 16S ribosomal RNA". It matches the Rfam family "Bacterial small subunit ribosomal RNA", at positions 524 to 776 of the family's 1533-position model. The record is from RNAcentral.